AGUGGCGAACGGGUGAGUAAUGCAUCGGAACGUGCCCAGUCGUGGGGGAUAACGUGGCGAAAGUUACGCUAAUACCGCAUACGAUCUAUGGAUGAAAGCGGGGGAUCGCAAGACCUCGCGCGAUUGGAGCGGCCGAUAUCAGAUUAGGUAGUUGGUGGGGUAAAGGCUCACCAAGCCGACGAUCUGUAGCUGGUCUGAGAGGACGACCAGCCACACUGGGACUGAGACACGGCCCAGACUCCUACGGGAGGCAGCAGUGGGGAAUUUUGGACAAUGGGCGCAAGCCUGAUCCAGCCAUGCCGCGUGCAGGAUGAAGGCCUUCGGGUUGUAAACUGCUUUUGUACGGAACGAAAAGGUUUGGCCUAAUAAGCUGAGCUCAUGACGGUACCGUAAGAAUAAGCACCGGCUAACUACGUGCCAGCAGCCGCGGUAAUACGUAGGGUGCGAGCAUUAAUCGGAAUUACUGGGCGUAAAGCGUGCGCAGGCGGUUAUGUAAGACAGAUGUGAAAUCCCCGGGCUCAACCUGGGAACUGCAUUAGUGACUGCAUAGCUGGAGUACGGCAGAGGGGGGAUGGAAUUCCGCGUGUAGCAGUGAAAUGCGUAGAUAUGCGGAGGAACACCGAUGGCGAAAGGCAAUCCCCUGGGCCUGUACUGACGCUCAUGCACGAAAGCGUGG
This 676-nucleotide ribosomal RNA is filed under the name uncultured Curvibacter sp. RNAcentral's name for it is "bacterial SSU rRNA". It matches the Rfam family "Bacterial small subunit ribosomal RNA", at positions 94 to 764 of the family's 1533-position model. Lineage: Bacteria; Pseudomonadati; Pseudomonadota; Betaproteobacteria; Burkholderiales; Comamonadaceae. The record is from RNAcentral.